Molecule: ribosomal RNA, 452 nt
Filed under: uncultured bacterium
Lineage: Bacteria
Description: bacterial SSU rRNA
Rfam family: Bacterial small subunit ribosomal RNA
Source: RNAcentral
AGCGAACGCUGGCGGCAGGCUUAACACAUGCAAGUCGAACGGGCGUAGCAAUACGUCAGUGGCAGACGGGUGAGUAACACGUGGGAACGUACCCUUUGGUUCGGAACAACACAGGGAAACUUGUGCUAAUACCGGAUAAGCCCUUACGGGGAAAGAUUUAUCGCCGAAGGAUCGGCCCGCGUCUGAUUAGCUUGUUGGUGAGGUAAUGGCUCACCAAGGCGACGAUCAGUAGCUGGUCUGAGAGGAUGAUCAGCCACACUGGGACUGAGACACGGCCCAGACUCCUACGGGAGGCAGCAGUGGGGAAUAUUGGACAAUGGGCGCAAGCCUGAUCCAGCCAUGCCGCGUGAGUGAUGAAGGCCCUAGGGUUGUAAAGCUCUUUUGGCGGGGAAGAUAAUGACGGUACCCGCAGAAUAAGCCCCGGCUAACUUCGUGCCAGCAGCCGCGGUAAU